GAGUUUGAUCAUGGCUCAGAUUGAACGCUGGCGGCAGGCCUAACACAUGCAAGUCGAGCGGAUGAAGGGAGCUUGCUCCUGGAUUCAGCGGCGGACGGGUGAGUAAUGCCUAGGAAUCUGCCUGGUAGUGGGGGAUAACGUCCGGAAACGGGCGCUAAUACCGCAUACGUCCUGAGGGAGAAAGUGGGGGAUCUUCGGACCUCACGCUAUCAGAUGAGCCUAGGUCGGAUUAGCUAGUUGGUGGGGUAAAGGCCUACCAAGGCGACGAUCCGUAACUGGUCUGAGAGGAUGAUCAGUCACACUGGAACUGAGACACGGUCCAGACUCCUACGGGAGGCAGCAGUGGGGAAUAUUGGACAAUGGGCGAAAGCCUGAUCCAGCCAUGCCGCGUGUGUGAAGAAGGUCUUCGGAUUGUAAAGCACUUUAAGUUGGGAGGAAGGGCAGUAAGUUAAUACCUUGCUGUUUUGACGUUACCAACAGAAUAAGCACCGGCUAACUUCGUGCCAGCAGCCGCGGUAAUACGAAGGGUGCAAGCGUUAAUCGGAAUUACUGGGCGUAAAGCGCGCGUAGGUGGUUCAGCAAGUUGGAUGUGAAAUCCGCGGGCUCAACCUGGGGAACUGCAUC
Molecule: ribosomal RNA, 624 nt
Filed under: uncultured Pseudomonas sp.
Lineage: Bacteria; Pseudomonadati; Pseudomonadota; Gammaproteobacteria; Pseudomonadales; Pseudomonadaceae
Description: bacterial SSU rRNA
Rfam family: Bacterial small subunit ribosomal RNA
Source: RNAcentral